UUAGUUCCUUUUCUUAUAUUAUUGGUCCUACUUACAAUUUCCUUUGUUUCUGCUUCCUCUUCAUUGACGUUCCAGUUUGUAGUUCUUUGUUGACUGAGGAAACCAUGGUUACAUACAUCUAAAUAAAUGCUCUAGGAAGUGAUGAAGUGAUACCUGAAUAAAGUAUUUGAUGUAGCCAAUCUCUCAUUAUUAUCUAUAGUAGUUAAUUUCACUCAUUUGCUGGAAUUGUUUACCAAAUUAUGGAUGGAUUCCAUGCAUUGGGAUUGUUCU
RNAcentral lists this unclassified non-coding RNA (270 nucleotides) under Hevea brasiliensis (rubber tree). Lineage: Eukaryota; Viridiplantae; Streptophyta; Magnoliopsida; Malpighiales; Euphorbiaceae. The record is from RNAcentral.